UGAAAAGAUCUUUCAAUGACUGUGUUUGUG
RNAcentral lists this non-coding RNA (30 nucleotides) under Rattus norvegicus (Norway rat). The record is from RNAcentral. Lineage: Eukaryota; Metazoa; Chordata; Mammalia; Rodentia; Muridae.